UACGAAGGGGGCUAGCGUUGUUCGGAUUUACUGGGCGUAAAGCGCACGUAGGCGGACUAUUAAGUCAGGGGUGAAAUCCCGGGGCUCAACCCCGGAACUGCCUUUGAUACUGGUAGUCUUGAGUUCGAGAGAGGUGAGUGGAAUUCCGAGUGUAGAGGUGAAAUUCGUAGAUAUUCGGAGGAACACCUGUGGCGAAGGCGGCUAUCUGGUCCAAUUCUGACGCUGAGGCGCGAAAGGUAGGGGAGCAAACAGG
RNAcentral lists this ribosomal RNA (253 nucleotides) under uncultured bacterium. Its description in RNAcentral is "partial 16S ribosomal RNA". It matches the Rfam family "Bacterial small subunit ribosomal RNA", at positions 524 to 776 of the family's 1533-position model. The record is from RNAcentral.